UUUGUUUAGCUAGCUCAAUGUAUGUGUCGUUGAGUUUUAGUUGAGUUGAUUGGUUUGGUAUAUUUGUUUUGAAGUUUAUUUGUAAGAUUAGACAAAAAGAGAGGUGAUCAUUAAUGAUUCGUCUUUUUGGGAUUCUAGUAUUUGGUGUUUUGAUUGUUUGGAUUAUUGUGGUUUCUUUUAAACAGUAAAAUAAAUAUUUGUGUAAAAUUAGAUUGAUAAGUAAGGGAGAUAAAUAGACGACCACAAAUCUUGGGUAUGAAAUAUUUUUGAUUAUUGAUGUUAGCACAAUAUAGACAAUAAUAUAAAGAGAAUUAUGUGUUGAUUGUUGCUUACAGAUCAAUGAAGAGACGGAUAACGACUCGAGUUGUUUCUUUGGUGAGGUCAGACCCUGGACAGAACGGAUUUGCCCAACCACAUCUGUGAGUUCAAAUAUUAGUUUUGAUAUCAAAACAUAAUAUAAACCCAGAUGCAAUAUGAUAAUACACCUGAGAGUUCUAGGUUUGUGUUCGCAAUCACUUGGAGAUUGUCGAAUAGUCUAAUCUUGACUGAAGAUUAAUCUCAGGAGCACCCGUGGUGACUUCAUCAAUAAUGGUUAGUGAGAUGAAACGAAUGAGGAAUGGAUGAUCACUUAUCUUGUGCAUGCUUGAGCAUCUAGAAACCUCAAAACGAUCGACUUUCACAAUGGAACCAGCUUUCAAAGAUGACAUGUAAUGAUUAGCACGUCCGAUGGGAGUAAACCCAUGAAUCACGGAAUCUACAAAUAAUAUUAUUCAACAAAGAAUCAUGAAAUAAAUUAAAACAAUUAUGUUAAAUAAAUGUUAUAGAUCAAAGAUUAACUUACCUUUUCAUCAAGGAAGAGAACCGUGAU
This 868-nucleotide long non-coding RNA is filed under the name Brassica napus (rape). Its description in RNAcentral is "long non-coding RNA (BNAP_LNC013471)". The record is from RNAcentral. Lineage: Eukaryota; Viridiplantae; Streptophyta; Magnoliopsida; Brassicales; Brassicaceae.